RNAcentral lists this ribosomal RNA (468 nucleotides) under uncultured bacterium. RNAcentral's name for it is "partial 16S ribosomal RNA". It matches the Rfam family "Bacterial small subunit ribosomal RNA", at positions 28 to 507 of the family's 1533-position model. The record is from RNAcentral.
GACGAACGCUGGCGGCGUGCUUAACACAUGCAAGUCGAACGGAAAGGCCCUGCUUUUGUGGGGUGCUCGAGUGGCGAACGGGUGAGUAACACGUGAGUAACCUGCCCUUGACUUUGGGAUAACUUCAGGAAACUGGGGCUAAUACCGGAUAGGAGCUCCUGCUGCAUGGUGGGGGUUGGAAAGUUUCGGCGGUUGGGGACGGACUCGCGGCUUAUCAGCUUGUUGGUGGGGUAGUGGCUUACCAAGGCUUUGACGGGUAGCCGGCCUGAGAGGGUGACCGGCCACAUUGGGACUGAGAUACGGCCCAGACUCCUACGGGAGGCAGCAGUGGGGAAUAUUGCACAAUGGGCGGAAGCCUGAUGCAGCAACGCCGCGUGCGGGAUGACGGCCUUCGGGUUGUAAACCGCUUUCGCCUGUGACGAAGCGUGAGUGACGGUAAUGGGUAAAGAAGCACCGGCUAACUACAUG